This is a long non-coding RNA of Chinchilla lanigera (long-tailed chinchilla), 550 nucleotides long. RefSeq lists it as uncharacterized. Lineage: Eukaryota; Metazoa; Chordata; Mammalia; Rodentia; Chinchillidae. The transcript is spliced from 3 exons. The record is from RefSeq and is a predicted model, not a curated record.
GAUCACCUGGGAACUAACUCAUGAAAGUACAGGUUCUGACUAAGGGCCUGGGGUGGAGCUGAAAUCCUGCUUUUCUGACACAGUACUAGAUGAUGCCACUGGCAAGGCUGGGAAGGACUUAUUCCCCAAAGAUGAUACAGACAACAUGCUCACAAGUAAAUGAACAUUCGUGGAUGUCUGGGAGGUGCAAAAUAUCAUACCAAAUGCUAUGUCAUCAUCCACUACCUUGAGGUUAAUAUCCACAUCAAGAUUCAACCAAAGCCAACGUAUGAACAAGUAAAAAUUCAUAAAAGACAGAAAACUUACUACCUCAUUGGUAGAAGCACCAAGAAUCCACUGGGGAGCUUUUUUUUUCCCACAAUGCUAGCUAUUUCACUUCUAUGUACAUACCAGAAAUGUGAGCAGAUAUUGGCCAAAAAACACACAAAAAAUGUUCAUGAUAUCAUUACUUCAUAAUAGCACCAAACUCGAAACAUCCCUACUGAUCAUAAACAGUUGAAUAAAAUUAGCGUGUAACUUCUCACGGAAUAUAUGUGGCUUUUUCAGUAGA